RNAcentral lists this ribosomal RNA (253 nucleotides) under uncultured bacterium. Its description in RNAcentral is "partial 16S ribosomal RNA". It matches the Rfam family "Bacterial small subunit ribosomal RNA", at positions 524 to 776 of the family's 1533-position model. The record is from RNAcentral.
UACAGAGGGUGCAAGCGUUGUUCGGAAUUACUGGGCGUAAAGCGCGUGUAGGCGGCCUGACAAGUCUCGUGUGAAAGCCCUGGGCUCAACCCAGGAAGUGCGCGAGAUACUGCCGGGCUGGAGUAGCGGAGAGGAUGGCGGAAUACCCGGUGUAGAGGUGAAAUUCGUAGAUAUCGGGUGGAACACCUGUGGCGAAGGCGGCCAUCUGGACGUUCACUGACGCUGAGACGCGAAAGCGUGGGUAGCAAACAGG